Long non-coding RNA from Helianthus annuus (common sunflower), 6758 nucleotides. RefSeq lists it as uncharacterized. The transcript has 14 exons. The record is from RefSeq and is a predicted model, not a curated record. Lineage: Eukaryota; Viridiplantae; Streptophyta; Magnoliopsida; Asterales; Asteraceae.
CAAUUACAUUUCCUUUAAUCUCCUUUCUUUGAGAUUUCUUUUCAAAACGUAUUCAUUCAAUGUCAUUGAAUACACCAAAACCUUUCACCGCCUUCUCUCUUCAAUUAUUACGAAUACCUAAAUUUUUCCAUAUUUCAAUGGAUUUUCUCAUUCAAGCUACAUAUAUAGAUUUCACUUCUGCAUCUUCUUCAUCUGCGUCGUCCUUUUCUUCAAUCUAUUUCGGAUUUUCUUUGUUCAUCCAUCUCGAAAUCUGAAUCAGUUGGAAGAUGGGGAUAGGGUUGAGCAUCUUCGACUUCAAGCGAAUAUGGAACUACCCACAAACCGAAUAUGGAAUUAAACCUUCAGAGGUAUAUUAGAGUAUUGGACAACUAUUCUAGGUCAUCCCACCAGGGAGCAGAUACAAACUUUUUGAAUUUACAUUGUCAUGGAAACGUCUAAGAUGGCUUGAGUUAUGAAGGGUUUAAUCUGGUGCAGAAGAGAUCGACCAGCUCAGCUCAUGCUGUAGUUGGAGGCCGGAGGUUACGAUGGGUUUAACCUGGUGCAGAGGAUCCGGGAGGGAUUCGCUUGAUUUAAAAAGAAGAAAUAUGAGUACCAGGAGAAACAACUAUUGAAUUUGCUGAGAGGAACAAACAUAAAUUACAUAAAGAUGUAUCUAAAAUAGUUUAGGGUGACAAUAUGCGACAACGGAAGGCAGUUGGAGGCUACUUUUUCUUCCGAUGACUCGACGAGUGACGUAAUUGGUGCCGAAUCCACAGGAAAAGAAGGCCAAAACAAUCGCGGAUUUAAGAUAAGAUGAGUAUAAUUACAUGGUUGCUGUAGAGACAAUAUCAAUUGAAAAAAGCUGGUUACAUUGAAGUCUGGUGCAGAAUGGAAAGGGAGGCUAGAACUUUCAACUUGACGCUUAUAAUUGAGAAACAUAGGCUGAUCGAUAUUAUGAACUAUAUCGAUAUUAUGAACUAUAUCUGAGUCAAUGUGAAUGCCCUCUUGGUUGAGGAAUUAAGUGUUCCCGAGCACCUUCGCUUCAAAAAACUGGUUGAUGGAAUGGAAGUACCAACAGAAUUAGAUUUUCAUUUAAUUACUUCUCACGUCAGUGUACUCGGUUGGAUGUUUAUGAGGAAAAUUAGGGCAUGGGACCAAAACCGAUGGAAAAAACCAAGAUUGAUAGAACAGUUGUAGGCAUUGAACUUGCAGCCCAUGGUGAUUGCAGGUGGUGCAUGGCAUGAAGGUGUGAUUGGAACUGAUAGCAGGGUGGUAGCAUAUUUAGAUUCAGUUCUCCAUUAGCUACAUUAACCACCAACGGGUCUCAGGAAAAUACACAUGCUGCAUCUACUGUAGUUACACAGGCGGUCCCAUUCAAGUUUGCAGCAUCAAUACUUUAAUAAGUCACCAGCGGAGGUAACGGUUCUGAGCUCCUGAAAUGAAUCGAUUCCAUCAGUCUAUUUCAUCUUCGUCUAUUCUAUUCUGAUGACCUCCUGCAGCAAUGACCGACGAACUAGACAGCCGCAUCAGGCGGCGGCUUUUUUUAACACGUGGGUCUUCCGGCUUUUAAGGGUGGUACCAAAGUGAUUUAAGGGUUGUUGCGCAUGUGAGAAUCGUUCUUUGAAGACGCUGAAAUCGGUGGAGAGACAACUGAUUGCAAAUGACAAGUUUGGUACCACCAUUUCGAUGUAAGGUAUGAUUUCGAACAUUUGUUACUAAACACUACAAGCGUAAAUGUUGUUCCUGUGAUUGAACCCUAACAGGUUCUAAAAUCCAAUUAUUUUUUCAAGAUUUUAAUCUCAUCAAAUGUGGUUAAUUAUAAUCAGCUGAAUUUCGAUUCAGGAUACAUCUCAUCAAUUAUGUUUAACUAGAUUCCUUUUUGGGUUGGAGAAUAAAUAGUAAGGUGUUAAGCAUCUAGAUUUAAAUUACGGGGUAGAGGUAAGGUUGUCUAUAUCUCACCCUCCUCAGACGCUACCUAGCUUUGCUAUAUGUGGGAUUUACUGAGUAUGAUGAUGAUGAUGAUGUAUAGUUAAUAACUAAUGGGUAAAAUUUGUAGUUGUGAAAUAGAUACUUUGAUGGCGAUUGUUUAUACUUACUUCUCUGUAGUCAAACUGCCUUAAUUCCUAGGCGCCCAAGUUCGGCUCUGCUCAACACCUUAGCCAAACCGCCUUGAGUGCAUCUACGCGAACAGGAGCAGUGAACUAGCUUGAACUGGAAAACACCGCUCUGAGCCCAUUUGUAAUAGCUCAAAAUGAUCUGAACCAACCUAAAUUAGCCUAAAACAAGUCUAUAAUAGCCUAAAUUAGCCUAUAAAUGGACUGGAUAACACGUGCUUUUUGCUUGCUUCGGGCCUUGCUUUUUAAGCGCCUAGGUGACUUGAUUACCCUAUGUGUCUUCAGUGCGGCUUAAGCUUUUGACUACCUAGAUUUACUUAGCAUAAGUCUCUACACAUAUAAAUGAAAAAGUUGCUAAUUAUUUAUUUUGCGGGCAUCAUUUAUGCCACUGAGCGGAAACCAAGAUAUGAUCAUGGUUUCCGUUGCCGUUUUCAAUCUUUGAAUUUUGUUUUUUUUUUACAUUAUACACCAAUUUUUCCGGACAUUAUCCUCAUGGACGACCUCCCGUGUCGAGGAACCGUGCUUCAACGGGUCUGGGUGUUUGGUUUUUUCGACUCUAUAUGAGUCCCUCCUAUCCUUACAAAGAUUAUUCAACAAACACACAUUUAUUUCGUGUAACAGUUCAAAAUUUUAUGUUAAUUGUUCCCUAAAUGUCUUUGUCAAAUGCUAGGUGUAUAAAGACAUAAAUGUGGUAACUUGGCUGGUUAAACGAGCCGAAAUGGAUGGUUGUAAGGCGAUUGUCCUCACUGUAGAUACCCGAGACUUGGCUGAAGGGAAUCUAAUAUCAAUACCAUGUAUAUUAUUAAAGCUUUUAUUAGCCAAUUAUCAUAUCAAAACCAUAACAUACAAGCAUUUAAAUAGGGUCGGCAGAAAAACUAAAAUAGUUGAACGAUUACUGGUUAUGCUUUGAAUAUAAAUAACUGAAUUAGCCAAACGGAAAUCACUCAUACACUACAAAGUUUGAUAUAAUUUCAGUUUUUCUUACGGUUGAAUUCACUUGGCAUGACUUUGAUGAAGAAAGAUUGGUGGUGAUUGGAAUUUUGUUAAGUGGUUAGCUUCAGUUAUUUGUUAACUUAGUUUAACUAUUCGUCUCUUGCAGCAUGAUAUCUGUUGCUGAUCUUAAUGACAAAUGGGCAGCGAAUACAGGCCCUGGGUGGAAGGAAUAGUAGGUAAAAGAAUGUUCAUCCAUCCUCAAAUAAUAAAUGAGUCAGUUUCAGAUUUUUCACUGUGAUUCCACAUCAGGUUUGUCUAUCAUAAUUCUUAUAUAGUGGUCACUACUUUUUAGAGGUAGCCAAAUUAGCGCGUUAGAUAAUGGGUCGAAAUGGGUAAUUUUAGUACCAGUACAACCCGGUGCGUCUGGUUUGUCCCACAAGUUCAGUUUUAUAAUUGGUAAUGCGUUAGUUAUGAUUGCCACAAUAAUAAUAAUCCAAGUAUCCGAAUGUAAACAAUUUAUAAGUUAUAUUAAUAUACUUUUACUACCAUGAAGAGGAAAAAAAAUGUUUGAUGAGUUAAUUUACUUAAUUCGCAAUACAUAUAUUCUAUUAGCUGUAGCAAUUCAUAAACUACGACAUUAUUUUUACCAAUAAAAUGUGAGUUCGCCAUUUGUUUUAUUUUUAAGAUGUAUAUAGAAAAACGUACAAGUGGACUCACCACUUCACCAGCGAUACUAAGCCUUACAUCCACGGUCAAUUAAUACAUUUUUAUUAAUGGAUUUGUAUAAUCUUUUUUAAUAUGUGAGGGAUGAGUAAAGAUUCGGAAAAGUUCGCGGGAGAGUUGUUUGAUUCACUUUCCCACGUCAGAAUAUCACUGGCGACGUGAUAAACAAAGCAUAAUUAAAGAAGUUUUUAUGCUAUGGAGCGAGUACAUAGUUACAUUGUACUCGUGACUAUGAUAUAACAUUGAUUGUAAUUUUUGUAAACUUUAUGUUAAAAAUCAAUGUAACUAUGUACUUUUUUUUGCUUUGUUAACCGUUAGGUAUCUUGUUUUAAAACAUAAGCGGUUUGUAUGAAAAGACUAAAAUAGGUUCAUUGCGUUGUAAUUUGCAAGGCCCUGGCCGCAUCGUGACAGGCUUUACAUCUAGGUAUUUUUAUUUUAGUUAUUUUUGGUAAAAAGUUAAUAAGAAAAUAUAAGUAAAUUAAUCUUUGGUAAUUUUUAAAAAAUAUAUAAAAGAGACAACAAAAAGGUUAAGGGGGAAGGGCCACUUGCACUUCCUAUUCUAACGUCCUCUAAUUUUUACCCGUCAUAUCACUCAAUUCAUCCAUUGUCCUAAACUAACUAAUUUGGUGGCAUCAUUAUCCUAAAACAUGAACAUCCACCAUUUUACAUCUCUCUCUCUCUUCCAUCAUUUUAUAUUUAGUUGCACGUUAUAAACUUCACAAAAUUUAGAGUUAUCAGGCAACAUACUUUCAUAUAUAAUGGCUUAGACUACUUCUUCAACUUCGGCCCAGAUUUUUAGGUUUCGAGUAAUCAGAAGUUGCCAUCAGUGUAUCUUCUCGACAAUAUUGUGAAGACAUUGGGCGGGAUUGCAUUAAACACUUUUCGACCAAACUCCUCGAGGUUGAUUCUACACAUCAUUUCGGGACUUGGAAAGGAGUGUUUCCUCCUCAAACGCUUCAAUCACAAGAGAAAGAACUUGGUUUACAAUCAGUCGGGAAGUCGGGAACAUGUCAACGUUAACUUCAAUCAAAAGCUUCAUUUUAAUUUAAUAUUUACUUAAGUAAUUGGGUGUUUCUUUCGUUUAAAAGUUUAUGUCAAUACUGUUAAAUAAUAUAAUUUACUUUGAUAUCAUCCGUGUAACACACGGGUUCUUUGACGUAGAAUUGGGAUAACACACUUAUUUUGAUAUUUAAAACUCAUCUUAAAGAUUAUGUAGUUUGAUAUUUAGUAUAAUGUUUUUUUUAAGAUAGUGAUGGUACCAAAUUAGAGACUGGCAUAUGUGUAGGCUACUGGUACCUGCGUUGAAUAUGAGGUUGAACUAGGGAUGAGCAAAUGGUAUUGGGUGCCAGUUCAGAACCGGUACCAAAUUUCUUGAACGACUUGAUUUCCGGUACCGAAUCGGUAUCGAUAUUUAGCGUUUUCGGUACUGGUUUGGUGUGGUACUGGUAUUUGCCGGUUUUUACCUUCAAAUACCGGUGCGUUCCGGUACCGAACCAUAGCGUACCGGAUAUUUUCGAUACUGGUACCCAUUUUUUGGAAUUUUCAGUACUGGUUGGGUGACUUAUGCUAGAAACCUAUGAGAAUAAAAUUAUUUAAACAAAUUGCACUCCCGUACGAAAAAAAUGGGUGCUUUGCGCCACUGUUUUAGACCCUAUCUCCUCGGUGCGCCUCACGCUUUUUAAAUCUAAGGAUGUCAAUUAGCAAUGAUUGCAAGGUUGAAUUUUGAUUUCAUUACUAAGCUGCACAUGUAAUGCUUGAUGCUAGAACAUGAAUUUUCUAUUGUAUAGACAUUUGUUUUAUAUUUUUGUUUCCUUUUGAUGGUUUAUUGUUUUAUAAUUGUGAAAAUAGGAAGAAAAGGCAAGAGUUGUUAUCAUUUACUGAAUUGACUGACGAUAUGGUGUUAACUGUUGAAGAAAAUGUCAAAAGAGAUCUUAAAAGCUCAACGAAUUCGGAUUGUGAAAGUCCCAUUGAGAAGUCAUCAAUUUGAGCAUGAGUGGCGAUUAAGCUUUUCUUAGACUAUUCUUAGAGGCCACCUGCAUAAUGGUCUCACACAAGGUACUUUUUUUUUUAAAAUGAUGAAUGAUGCUGACUCUAUGCCAGCGGAUGUUGGUACGGAACUGACAAAGGACUAAGAACUUUAAAAAGCCCAUGAUAUACACAGUGGCGAAGCUUGACCAAAAGUUUCGAGGGGGCGUAAAGUGAUGGGACCUAAAUUUUUUUCCUAUCGUUAUGUUUCGGGUCGGGUCGGCUGUUCGAUUCAGGUCAGGCCAAAUAAUAAUAGGUCGGAUAAAAAAUCGGACCAUAUACACUUCUAACCGAAACAUUGGGGUGGGCGGGUGCACACUCGGGCAUCCAUUAUACUUCACCCCUAGAUAUACAUGACUACAUGUUUACAGAAAGGAAGAUAGAUACUAAAUAUUUCAGAUUGGCGUAGAGUUGGGAUUAUAUGAAACAUCUAAAGAAAUAUCAGUUGUUUCUUAGACUCACUCGAUACUACAUUUGGUUGAGAAAAUAUAUUAUAUAAAACGGUGUGUGAUUUUUCAUAUUUAUUUGUUAAUGAGAAGCUACUUUGUGUUAAAGGGUAGGGGAUGUUAAAAUAUGUUAAUAACCGUAACUUGGGAACCAGUUGUGAGUAUAGUAACAUCUACAUUUAUGUGUAAUUUAUUAAUUUCAUAGAUCUAUAAGAAAUUUAUUUUCCUUAUUAAUUUACAAUCUGUAAUUGGGACCGAUAUAGCAACCCGUCUUCUUUCAUGGUCAAUUGUACGUUACUUUAUCAUAGAUAAAAACACGAGAUGGAGUCAAACUACAAAUACUUGACAACGACGGAAAACCUACAGAUAAAACAACUAAUGUGGUUUUUAAGGAGAUUUUCAACGAAUUGUGAUCGUUGCAUAUUCAUGUAUUUCAAUUUGUCGUGGUAAUCUUAGAAAUUCGUUUGUGUUUUAACGUGUAUUUAAUCAUAACAUUUAUGUAAACGAUGAUGAUGAUAAGAUAUUAUCUUUUAGCAAA